GCCUCCGUUCUCCUUCCCCGCCGCAUACCCCGCCGCCGCCUCCCCUCCUCUGUCCUCUCCCCACUCUCCCCUGCCGCCCUUCCAACUCCCCUCCCCCUGCAGUCCCCCCUGCGGAGGCGACGCGAUGCCCGGCCAGCAACGCAGCAGCGGCCCGGCGGCGCGACUCGCGCUACCCGCGAGGUGGAGGAGUGGCCUGGAUGCUGCACAACAGCGGGGCGUGCCGCUGCCGAGAUCGCCGCCCGUCUAGCCCGCGCUGUCGACCAACAGGUGGGGUCCGCUGCUUGCCGGCGCCGUCGCUCUUGGAGGCGUCGUACGAGCCUCGCCUCCGCAUUCACCCUCGACGCCGCCACGGCCUCCUCCCCUCCUGCUGCUCGCCUUGCGCCCGCACGGUGCCAUGGUCUCUUCCCCCUCCUGCCGCUUGCCGCCGCCACGUCCUCCUCCCCCUCCUGGAUGCUUAGGGCGAAAUCGCAGGCAGGCGGCCAGGGGCUCAUCUGCGCCUGAGCGGAAUUGCAGGCAGGCGGCAGGCGGGCACAUCUCUUCACCAAUGCCUAUGACGGCAGCGAGCCCCCCACGCUGAAGGGCGGCGACGCAGUGCGCCUCCUCCCUCCCCCAGACGACUCUCCCUCACCAAUCCGGCGUCCAUACUCCAUACGUCAGCUUCAAGUCCACCCCAAGGUGAGCCCCAAGCAUAACUUACCUCUGGUUCCCGUGGCUUUCGAUUUGGGCAACUAGGGUUCGAUAAACUGGUUGGAUAUGAUUAGAUCGAGUCAUAAAUAUCCAAUUUUAUCCACUGGGUGUUGAAAUUUGGGUGAGGUAAAUGUCCAAUUCUAUCCAGAGGUAUGAAAACUGCUUCAUCAGUCCCUUGAAAUAAGUAUUUUAGCACCCUGAAUGCGCACCUAGCACAUGCAGUUUACAGUUUGAUAUUUAUUAGUAAACCUAGCAUGUAGUUUAAUUUGGGGAUGAAAUUUUGUUUGUGGAUCUUGAUUUAUUUGGUUGCUGAUUAAGAAGGCCACUUUCAUUGACCACUAUUGCAAAAUUGUUGGUCUGUGAAGCCUUGGCGUGGAGGAGGAUAAAGUAUCUCCAACUUCCACCACAAAGUUAGUUUUUCUAAUGAUGGACCUGUUAGCUUUUGUACAUUCUGGUUAUUUUUUCCCUGAAAUUGCUAUAGGCAUCCCUUCAUUAAGCUUAAUUAUAAGAGAGAACGAGUUUUCUGCUCGGGUGCUGAUUAUGUCAAAGUUCUUUUGUAGGAAAUAGUGCAACAUAAUCGAUGCAUUAUCUUUUGCACCUAAGGCUGCAAGGGAUGGAUUGGAGACUGAUCGACAGGUUUUCACAAACAUGUUUUUGUUUUUGUUUGUAGAUAUCGCGAAGUACUUGUCUCUUUCAUCUAAAACAUUUAACUAGAUAGUGAUAUAUAUCAACCACAGUUAAUGUGUUUUCCUUAGCAUAAACCAAAUGGCAGUACAGGGACCAGUCUAAUAUUUCCAUGUCUUUGUUUUUUCAUAUGCUUGAUGCAGACAUACUGAACAGUGAAGGUAACAAUGACAGACAGAUCAUGUGCUCUUGCUUUUCUGCAGAAACAUUUCUUUUCUUGAGGUUACAAACUUCAGUAGAUUCAUAUCACAUACUGAUGGCUGAAUUAUUAGCAUGGGCCGUGGCUGAUUACUUUUUAUAGUUAGUCCCGUAAAGCUAACACCACUGUUGUAAAAUGAAGUAUUUUGACUGGCAUAUAUCAUUUUCUGCUAGUCUUCUCUUAACUUAACUGAAAAUUGAUUCCAUUUGUGUAGUGCUGCUACAGCAAAAUAAGAAACUGCAUACUCAAAAUAUAAGAAAUAUCUAUUGUUUCUUUGUGUAUUUAUUGGUAAAUGACACUUUUGGUCCAUUCUUGGAAUUGUCCCUUUGUUCCUAUGUGUACUCUAAAGUUUUGCUCUUUUUAGUAUAUAAAAAAAUGAUUCCAUGCUGAAGUUUGAUCUUUAGAAGACACCAGAUCCAUUUUCUCUAUUAUUUCAUAUAUUGAUGUUUACAGUGGUAUGUUCAUUUCUGGUGCCCGAAGAUGGGGCUGGAUUUUCAGGAUUGCUGCUUGGCCCUCUACAACAACAGCUGGUCCUGGAUGUGCGCUGGUGAAGGUGACGGCCAGGCGAUGAAGCUGAGUUUGGGGCAAGCUGCUGCAACAGCAACGAUAACAGGAAGUUUUAUCAAACCCAGUGAGAGAACCUAUCUAGAAGAGAUGAUUCAAACAGGAAUAUCCACCAUUGAUGUGAUGAACUCAAUUGCACGAGGGCAUAAAAUUCCUCUCUUCUCUGCUGCUGGGCUUCCACACAAUGAGAUUGCUGCUUAGAUAUGUCGUCAAGCUGGUCUUGUCAAAAGGCUGGAGAAUUCUGGCAAGCACAAGGAGGCUGCAGAUGGAUGAUUGGCAUACAUACACAUAUUGUGUUGCCUGAUGGCAUCAAAUUUGGGGUUGUGGCUCGAGCUGAGGAGCUAAACGAGUUCUACGAUGUACCACGCUCAAAGUUCUAAACGAGUUCUAUGAUGUACCACGAUCAAAGUUAUGAAGAUUAAAAUUCUGCAAUAAAAUAUAUGUAUGACUGACCAGUAGCUCGAGUCUUUUAGGAAUGUAAAAAUUAAAGAAUGUUUGUAGGAGUCCAUUUACAGAGUGAUUGCUACAGUAUUGACAAACAAGGUUAAUUCUUUAGUAGUCGUUUCUUGUAAUGCAAUUAUUCUUUAAAUAUAUUUUUUUUAUGAUAUGACA
Panicum virgatum (switchgrass) is the source of this 2746-nucleotide long non-coding RNA. RefSeq lists it as uncharacterized. The record is from RefSeq and is a predicted model, not a curated record. The transcript has 3 exons. Lineage: Eukaryota; Viridiplantae; Streptophyta; Magnoliopsida; Poales; Poaceae.